UUUUUUUUGAUGUAAAAGCAAAUAAAAAUUAUACAGAGAAUUUUCCUUUUAUUCACAUGAAUACGAUUGUUAAGUUGACAAUGGCAGUAUUACAUUGACGAGUCGAAUAACAUUACAAAAAGAAGAAAUGUAAAUUGCAUAUCAGUUUAUAGAUUGAAUCUAAAUUUAGAAAAUAUUAAAUUUUAAAAAGCGCGUAACCCAAAAAUCAAAAUUUGUGGCCUGGCCUGCCAAAUGAAAUAAAAAUAAAAGGAAAAAACUGAAAAAUAAUACAGAACAUAAAUAAUUAGAAAACAGUAAUGAUGAGUGCUGGACUGAAAACAAAGUGUAACCGGACGAAAGGCAUCAUAGUACUAAUUCAGUUGCAAAGGAUAACCUGACAAAGGCAUAAGGAAUCUCUGGUGUUGGACCAAUAAACCUAUCAAUUACUGUCAUCAAUUAGAUGAUUAAUUGUUAGCUAUGUAAAGUCUCUAUCUACCCAAUCCCUUACGACAAAGGAACAACUGCACUCCACAUGAAAAGUUGGAUAAUCUUCAAGAACGACACCAUCAAACCAAGACAACCUCAUAUAUAUAUAUAUACAUAUUACUAAUUAAUUUGUAGGGGAUAAUUUAAUUUAACAGUUGAAAGCUUCUUUCUUUCAUCGAUAGAAAAAAUAAUUACUAAUGUUAAAAGAUACUAGCUUCUUUCUUUCAGCGAUGAAAAAGAAUUAUUAUAUCAAAAGAUACAAUAAUAUUAAAAAAAAAAAGAAAUUAUAUGUAUAAUAAAAAGAAUCACCAUAUUUCAACUUGAAUGAUUCAAAGAGUAUAAUAGAUUUCAUUCUGACAAUAAUACAUGAGCAAUCUCUAAAUUAUACUACAUAAAAUGGAUAACUAACAAUAGAGUAAUCAAAUACAUGGGGAGAAGAUUUUUCCUUUCAAGUUUUUAAUAGGUAAUCAUACUUAAUGGAGAUUAAUUUCCUGUAUAUAAUUUUGAUUAGAAAGAAUUAUUUGGUCUAUAUCUAAAGAAAAAUUGAAAAAUUAAGACUUAAUGACCCCAAGAACUGUUCCUUGAAGUGAAACUGAAUGCUCAAUAUCACCAAUGUGAAGACUAUGUAGACCAAUUGGAAUUCUUCGAAUUCCAUAUUUAUCCACGACACUCAAAUACUUGCAUACGUGUAUAUUGAUUCCUACUCUUUGUUGUGACCCUGCUGCCACGUGUACUUUCUCAAAGGCUACCAAUUGCUUAUGUGGCGCCCAAAGUCCAGCUGGCGGUGUAGAGUAGACAAGAAGUGUGUAAGUUCCAUCUUUGGACCCAACAUUCUUAACAUCAACUUGAAGUCCUAAAGAAAGUCUAUUACACUUAGUAUGUGUAACUCUAAUUGCCUUCCCUGAUAUGGUGGUGUUGCCCCGGUGGCCAGCUAGAGGUACAGAAACCAUUGUGGGUGCACUAGCUAUGUUGUGAACAAAGUUUGUGUAGCUCAUUCCAUGUCCAAAUGGGUACACCACUUCACCCUUAUAGAAUCUAUAGGUUCUUCCUGGAUACCCUUUUGAUUGGCUUGACCUCAUGCCCAUUUCUGUCAUUGGGAGAUUUGUUAUGUAAUCUUGUGGGUACCAUGUCAUGGGCAGCUUCCCUCCUGCAAGAAACAACUUUACGUGACUGACCAUUGACAUAUGAUAUAAAUUUUACCCUGACGUUUAAGCGAUUUGUCCCGCCACAUAUUUAUGUUUGCAGAAACCUAUCAAAAUCUUAUAAUUUUACAUUUCAGAAAUAUUAUAUUACUAGUUAAAAUUAUGAUUCUACAUUUUUACAUUUUAUUUUGACGAGUGACAUGAUUAUUACUAAAAUGUAAAAGUGUAGGUUCAUAAUAGAUUAUAUAAACUUGAGGUACCACAAGACAAAUAGCGUAAAUUUCAGGACAAAUCUAUGCAUUUCGUGAUAUAAAUUGUAUGAAGUGAGCAAACCUGGGUUAGUUGUUCCAAACAAGACAUCAGCAAUAGCUGCUCCACCGGCUUGGCCCGGAUAACCAGUCCAUAAGAUUGCAGAGAUUUUAGGAUCGUUCUUAGCAAAAGAAACAUCUAUUGGCCCACCAGACAUCAAGACCAGAAUGGUUGGGCCCUUUGAGGCUGAAGCAACUUUAGACACGAACUCCUGUUGGCGUCCUGGAAGAAGAAGCCCAGUCCUGUCUCUAAACUCUGCCUCAAUAGAUUGGUCAAGCCCCAUCACUAGAACUGUUGCAUCCGCUUGGCUUGCAGCUCCAAUUGCUUCACCAAAUAGCUGGUCACUAGCACAACCCACAUCUGGACACCCCUGUUUGUAAAUUGUCCUGGCAUAACUUCCUAUUCCUUGCAACGGCGUCGUAUAGCCACAAGCAACCCCUAAAAAAAGAACAUUAAGCCGAUUUUCUGCUAGCUUUACAAAGGAUUAGGCUUAGGAAGCAAAACCUACCAGCAUAAUUUCCAAUCAUAGUAACAGUGACAUUGGAGUUAGGCCCAAUUACAGCAAUGGUGCGAUGGCGGUGAGUAAACAAAGGCAAGGAAGGACCAUGAUUAUUAUUUUUUAAAAGAACAAUGCCUUGCCUAGCAGCUUCAAGGGCUAGCUCUUGGUGGGCUUGGGUACACACAUCUUCUGGGCCCAAGUUUCCAUAUGGGUGCGAAGAUGGUUCACCAUCAAACAUCCCUAGCCUCAUUUGGACAGUUAAAGUAUUAACCAAAGCCCCAUUUACAUGGGCUUCAUUAAUUAGCCCUCUUUUAACUGCGUCCUGCGUGUGCUUUGCAAGGAAAGGACCACAGUCCAAAUCUAGACCUGCUUUUAUAGCAUCAGCUGCUGCCUCUUCAGGAGUUGAUGUAUAAUGUUGCUGAUUGUAAUAAACACCAACAGAAUCACAGUCUGAAACAAUAUACCUGAAAAAUUUUGAAAUUAAGCAAAAUUUUCCAAUGAUAAAAAUAUUUACUCAACAUGAUACAAUCAAACGGCUCUUACCCAUUUAGGCCCCACUGGGUUCGUACAGUCUUCUGUAGCAGAUUAGGGUCUGCACAAGUGGGUAUGCCAUUAACUUGAUUGUAGGAGCACAUUACACUUGCUACCUUUCCUUCUUUUACACACAUCCUGAAUGGCACAUCAAAUGUAUCUACUAUGUCCUGUUUGCUUACCUGUUUCGCAACCGUAGAUUAACAGCACGUGAUUAUCUAUUAUCUAACAUUAUUUAUAUUAUUAUUGUUUAUGGAAACAACUCAAAGAAAAAAUUUCUAUUUUCCUUAAUUUGAUGGCAAGUUAAUUGCAAAAACUAUAAUGGCUAGGGCAAAAAGAAAACGACAUUUUUGACGGUUGAUGGUCCUAACUUCCAUGCCAUUAAUGUCCAAAGUAGACAACCAAACAGGUUGAUUCUGGUUCCUUUCAAUUACUAUAAAUUAUACGUACGUCUCCUUUUACUAAAAUUACCAUCUUGUCAAUAAAAAUCAAUGAUCAUAAACCAACAAUCAAAUUCACGUAUAAAUUCUCAUCAUAAAAGCAGUGUACCUUAGCAUUAAAGUGGAAGCGAUCCACUCCAUUCCAGUUAUCGAGGUCAUACGCAGUGAAAUGUUUACAACAAGCUGCAACCUUCAACCGGUCACCCUCGUUUCCCUGUAAACCCUUAACAUAACUAGCAGCAUAUUUACCGACUACUAAAGGAUCUUCACCGGGAGUCUCCUGUCCACGUCCCCACCUUGGGUCUCGAAAUAUAUUUACAUUUGGACUCCAAUACGUGAGCCCGCCCAUCCCUCCAUUGUACAUUGCUCUAGCUUCGUCUGACACAACCUGCCCACUUGAUGUAUUUUAGCAUCUCUACAAAGUCUCUAUAUUUCUUAACUACAUAAAAACAAAUCCAAAACUCGCUCGCCAUUUGUCAAAUUUUAAUAAUUCAUCACUCUUUUUCUUCUAGUGACCAAUAUAAAUAAUUGCAACUUGGCAAGUUGCAACAGGUAAUUAAUUAAUAAAUUCAAUAUAAUGAUUUUUUCUCUUUUAGAGAUUUAAGUUUCUAAAAGUACCCUUUACAUGAAAAUGGAAUUUUUUUUUUUAAGUAUAUUAAAGGAUUUUAUUAUUAAAUAUCACUUAUCGAAGAACCAAUGACAAAUCAUGAGGAUUGCGAGAAUCAUUUUUCUAGACAUGACAUGCAAUGAAUAGCCUGAAUUAAUAAUAAAUGGACAACAAAAUUGUGGACCGUCAAAUAAAGUUCGGAAUUUUAUCAUUAUAAACUAUUAACGAUACAUAUAUAGUGUUCAUGGCCCACAAAACACAGUUUGUUAGUUGGUUUGUUCAUUGUAACGUAAGAAUGAAUAGAUUGGUCCUUUCAUUAUUUGAAUGACCUAAGCAAGCAAGAAAUUGCAGCAAAAAGCUCUAGUAUAGACACACUAGGCACGAGCAAGCAUGGUGCGGUUAACAUGACGGAAAAUAAAAAACAAAACAUAUAAAAGGUUAUCUUCCCUAAGAAACAAUACAGAACUGUUCAAUCCAGCUCUGUUUUCAAAAAUAAAGUUAUAAACUAAUGAAUAUAUAAGGGAUUAAAAAGAAAUCUGACCCGUCCAAUAGCCUCCCACAAAGUAGCAUUGAAAGAAGCAGCGGUAGUGAUGACUUGAGGGAAGCUAGUAGCUCCAGGGAAGGCCCCACCGAACUUAGUGCCUGGACCCACAUUGGAAACCCCAUGAAGAGCUUCCGACCACCACUCAUACCCUUUAAUCCCAAGCCGAGAAACUGAAGCAGCAUUAUUAACCAGCAAAACAACCUUCUCUUGCAAUGUCAAUCUCCCAAUGAGGUCCUUAACUCUAUCCUGUAUUGGUAACUUCACUUGGCAAAACGGCAGGUUCCUCGUCGUUUCUUCUUUUGGGUCGCAAGCAAAUGGCUCAAUGGCUUUGCUAGUUCUCCAAUAAAAACAACCCACAAAGAAAAUCAAGAAAAUAAUAAAAUGUCUGUUAGUGGAAGCCAUUUUCUUGGAAGGAAAGAAGGAAAUGGUGAAAAAUGUUUCUUGUUCUUUUUAUGAAGAUGGAGGCUAAGGGAAGUGAAAAGUGGUGCAUAUAUAUUGGCUAGGGAAGUGAUGAUGUAAGAAAGAAAGUGAAAAUUUGAUGAUUAGAUAUUCAAGUUGGUCCUUUAGCUGUUAAAGAAUAGAACACAAGUAAAAGCGAUAAGCUUUUUCUUUUCUUCUUCUUUUUUUUUUUAAAUCUUUUUGUGUAUAGUGGGCUAUAAGUUGGGUGGAUGUUGGAUAACAAAAUUUAGUGAACCUACCUGCCGUUUUGAAGAGAUUGGCAAUGGUAAUUUUUGAUUGGUUAGUUGGUAGGUCCAGUUGGAGGUUAGAUAAUCCAAAUUGACGAAAUGUCUCUAAUAAUAUUUUCUUCAUCCGGAAAAUUUCUCCCAAUGGCUGGCUGGGAAGCGUCAAAUGUACAUUUUUGGGAGAUAAAGAUCAGGUGGAAUAGAGUCGAUAGAUUGCACCAGAAUUUAUAUAAUGGUCUUAAAUAUGUAGCAGUAAAACAUAUAAUUAUUCGCAUAAUCAAUGAAUUUAUAAUAAGUUUUAAUUAAGGAUACCCAUUUUUGGUAUCGUGGUCUGAAUUGCACUUGAUCAGUAUACGUAUAUAUCACACAAUCACUGAAUUCUGAUAGAGAGUUAAAAACUUAAAAUAGAUAGAUAAAAAUAGCUUCACUUGAAAGAUAGGUCAGACACGAAGACUCAGACACUCUAAGCACUAAGGGUACGGUGAUAUGAUUGCAUUACCAGAUGGAAUCAAAAAACAUUAGCUCUUUAUUUUCUUUCAAAAAUUGUAAAUGUAUUUUUGUUUUAAACCAGAAUGCAUAAUCCCUCGGACUGCAUAGUGAAAAAGUUUUUAGCCCCUCUGAUAAAAUUUAAAUAUUUUGCUUUUAAAUAUAUUUGUAUUUAUAGUUUAAAAAGAUAUUAGAAAAAAAAAAACAGUUAUUCAAAAUAAUUUACAACAGAAGGAUAAAGGUAGGAAUAUAAAAAAAACGAAAAAGUCUAACAAACAAGUGUUCAUUUUACAAAACUAACCAAAAUAUAUCACUUAAGCAACAAGCCAAAUAAUUUAUAUUCUCAAAUCCAUUAAAUUUAAAUAUGUUUUCAGAAAAUAUUAAACAUGUUAGAUUGUUAUUCCACUUGCAAAUUGUUCGUAAAUUAACGGAUCACAGGACUAUUUAAUUUGGAUUUUAUUACUGACAAGUGAGAUUUUCAAAAUUAAGGAUUGCAGAGUUGCAAUUGGCUUGAACACGCGGCUGAGUUUAUAAUUUAAUGGAGGUUUUUCUUGUUAGUAGUAAACAAUUUUAUGCUCCAAUAAUGCAUCUAAUGGAUAGAACAGCUUAGAUGUUUUCAAGCAAGAUUUUUUGAGAGAAAAUCAAGGAAUUUAGAUCCGAUCUGCUCAUGAUUUUAAUAAAUUAUAACUACAGUUUUUAUUAGCAAACCAACUAAAUUUGGUCAACCUAUUUAGUUUUCUAACCCAUUUUUAUUAAAUUGAACUAGUGGGAUAGGUCUAUUCUAUUCCUAACUUAUUUAAGUUAAAACGGAUUUUAGGAAUGAAUCCAUCCAUAUUUGUUUGUUUUUCCUAACAUUGAAAACAAGAUUUCACCAAUAACCAUUUCUUUUAUCUUAAUGGUCAAAAAAAAAAAAAAAAAAAUGAUGAACUUGUAUUACUUGACUUUAUCGCAAAUGAAUGAUACAUAAAGGUAAGAGAGGCUAAUUAUGGAUGCUAAGCUGUACCAACUGUAACGUAAUAAUGAAAUUAUGAAAGCUUUGAAAGGGAACUUGAAAAAGAACCUUCAAUUUAAUUAUUGUGGUAAUAAUUCUGAAGAUUGAUGAUUGGUUAUCUAACUGAUUAAAUUGUCAUUGUGGGACCUUUCCUUCAACAACCCAUGUUAAAUAUUUUGCUCUUAUCCAUUUGGUCUUCUCCCAUCCCAUUCUUCUAUUUAUGUCUUUGCCAUCAAAGUUUUUUCCCUAAAAGAAAAAAUAAAAGAAGAAGAAAUGAUUAUUCAUUAACAGGAAGGACAUUUUUAGUUGGUUUGCCUGUGUAUAGGCUUGUUUAUUUGGAAAUUUAUGUUUUGGUUUUCAAUCUCAAAAAAAUUAAUGCUUCCUUUGUUUUUGAAAAAUGAUUUACUUUGAAAAAUAUUAUUGACCCAUAUCAUACAUCCAAUCCAAAUAGAUAUAGGGCGUCAAAAUGUCCCAUAGAAGACUCCAGUGUGGCCUGCUAGCUACAGAACAGACAUUCAGCCUAAUUCACGGCUUGAAGCCCAAACAACUUUUUGGGCCUGCUUGGUCCGAGAGAGAACCCGAAACUUUAACAAACAUUUGCUCAAGAAUUUUUUUUUCUUAAGUGAAAAGACAUCUCCAUGAAGGAAUUAAUAAAAAAAAUUGACCGAAAUGCAAUCCCGCUGAGUAAGAAAACUGUUUAUAGAGUUUGUUUCGCAAAAUUAUCUUAUUUAGCGGUGUAUUAGUUGUGAUAGUAGUUAUUUUUAUUUAAUUAGCUUUUCAUUAAAAGUUAAAUAAAGGUAUAAUUUUUUAUCAUCUAUUCGUUCUGAUCAAAUUUAUUCUAAAUAUUAAUACAAAAUACUUUGUUAAAACAAUAAAAAUAAUAUAAAAUAUUGUUUUCUGAUAGAGCCAUAUAAUAAACCAGUAAUUAAUAAGUAGUGAUAAAUAAGUUAAUCACAUGUUCUUAGCUUCUUAUACUUCACUAAGAAAACUUAUUCAACAAUAAUAACUUAUACAGGUAUAAUAAUUUAGUUUUUCUCUAUGCAAAUAAACACGAGCAAAGCAAACAUGCAUUUCUACUUAGCAUUAACAAUUCAUGCCAUGACAAACUGUUUAACUAAACAUGCAUAACAAACACAGAACCUAAUAUUAAUUAUAAUAAUCUUUUUAAUUAAAUAAUUAAUUAACCUUGGAAAUUAAGUAACCAGUGAGGUAUCUUUUUCUCUAUCUUCUUCUCUAUAAUAGUAUCCAAGCUAGGUUUCCACCCUUUCCCUGAAAGCUGCUUGCUCAAAUACUCCGGUCGGUUCUCCAAAAUCUCCGGCAACAACUCCGACGACUCAUGAUUCCUCUUCUCCACAUUAUUACUUUCCUUCCUUUCCAAAACAAUCUUGUGUCCAUCCGCAGGGCAUAUCCUAGCAAACAAAGGAAGAAAUCUCGACGAAGACAAAAACGACCGUGAUCUUAAGAGAGAGGUUGCACACGAAACGACAUGUCUAGCUUCCUCUGAAGAUAAUGAAGCAGGUUUUCCUCUUUUAAUUGGGAGCAUUAGAUACAGCUUCUUCAUUUCAAGCUUCUUGUCAGCUGGCAAUGGAGUUGGCCUCUUUUCAGUCAAGUUUGGACAGAACUCGACCACCACCUGUUGUGGAUGCUCUAGCAUCAGUUCCGCUACGGUUACUGGCUGGUCGAAUUCUUGAACGCUGCCGUCCGAUAGAAUUACUUUUCCGGUGACGUUUGUUGAUUGGGUAGUUAUGUAAUUCCCCAUUGUUGAUGAGAAGAACUCAUGCAAUGGAGAGGAAGUUUUGGUUUUGGGGCAUCUUAUUGAGAGAAUAUUUAUGGGAAUUUGCUUGUGGGAAGUGUUUGUUAAACCGCUCCAUCAUGUGACAUGUAUAAUGGUGGACUUGGUAAUAACUAAAUCUCUCUAUAAAGAUUAGGCCGCUGGGCGAUUUGAGUGAGUUUUUUCUUCUUCUUUUUUUUUUUUUUUAAAAAAAAAGAAGAAUUAACCUAUAUUAUAAUUAAGUUACACGCUUUAUUAAUUCAUAAAUCACUAUUUAUAUAUAAAAAACGAAUCAAAUGUUAAUAAUUCAUAAACCACUAUUUAUAUAUAAAAAAUGAAUCAAAUGUUAAUAAUUCAUAAAUCACUAUUUAUAUAUAAAAAAUUAAUCAAAUGUUAAUAGAUGAUCAGAUAAACAGAAAUAAUUAUAUUUCGAAGCAAAUUUUACACCUAAGAUUUGAGUUUGAAAUCUAAUAAAAUGUUACACUUAAAAAAAAAUAAUAGGAAUAUUUAUUUAUCACUAUUGAUUUUUUUUUUUUCUAAAAAAAAAAAAAAAAAAAGAACAAGAAUUCGGAGCAUAUUUUAUAGUCCCGUGAUAUUUGACUAGGUAAUACGCAAACGUUAGGCUUGGUCCAAUACAAUGGAGGUGGUAUUGGUAGUGGUAGAUUCCUGGAAUUUUAUUAAAAAUUUAUCACCUUUUAUUUGUCUUUCACCUAACGAAGCCAAGGGAAGUCAAGGAACGGUUCAACUAUAACUAUAUUAACUAAUGUCUUUAAUUAAAACCAUAGGAUAAUAUAAUAUGUCAUAUCAGAAAUUAAAAUUGGACCGUCCAAGCAUCUAUUAAUCUCACGAGGGCUACUAUACUGUUGGUCAUAUGGGGAUGUAUUAGAAAACUGUACAAUAGAAGAAGCAUUCUGCGUGCAUAUUAAAGGGAGAAAACUGUAACCAAGCAUGAGCUAAUAUUUAUUUAAUUAAAUAUUUAUCCAUAUUUAUUGAAAGCAAGAUCUAAACAGAGAUUUAUUAAUAUUUGUUCUUUUCCCCUUUUUAGCACAUUGAAAUUCGACUCUUAGGUUGGGCUAAUACUAAUGAAAGAGAGGCCGCCCAUUAUUUCUAGAAGGCCUAAAAUGUUAGGCCACGUUUGACCCAUUCGCUAUCAAAAGAUUAUAUGUCGUUUCACUUUGUUAAAAUUCUGUGUCGUUUAUAUGUGUGCCAUACAGCCAAUAAAAAAGGUUUACCAUUUUAGUUGGAUCAUUCAUUCAAUAAUUAUUUCAAAUAUUCAAAUUGAAUAUAUGAUUGACAAAUAACAGCUGAUGAUAUAAACAAAUUCAUGAUUGGAGUUAAUUUUCUACUUCUAUUUCACAAUUCAAAUAUAUUCCCUAUUGGAUUUCCCUGUUCAUAUAUGUUACAACGAUUCGGAAAAUCAUUCCCCCAAUAAUAUUUAUUAAAAAAAAAAAAUCAAAGCUCCUCAGUGAUGGCCUCUAAAGCUGGAGUCCAUUGCCUGCAUUUCUCCAAUCGGCAACAGGCAAAACCCAUAUCCAGCUCUUCCUUAACCUCACUCUCUGCCUCAUUAGCCACAGCCGGUAAAACCUUAGCGCCCCUCCGCCCUUUGCUUGACUUUUUCUUCUUAGAUGCAGCAGCAGCAGACUCUAUAAUCCCCAGCUCUGACUCCGAAAUCUUACGGUUAAGCUUACUUAAAUGAACUAGCAGGUAAAACUUUCCCGCCAAAAGCUCAUCCUCAGCUCGCAAAGCUAUUAACCGGCGGGUCCGCCGGAGUUCUUGCACAGGAGAGACGACGUGGCCGGGUUCUUCGAGCAUGAGCUCCGCUGCUUUAGCUGGGGCCUUUACUUGCCUCAAGUUCCCUUGAGAAUCUAUAAGCUUAGCAGUUUUACUGGGGAUAUAAAAGCAGGAAGAGUAGUUUCCCAUAUUUGCAAAGUUGAAGAUUAGAGAUUGCGAUUUCUUUUACUUAUUGCCUGUUUUGGAUGUUUGAUGUUCGAUGUUUUAUGAAUGAGGAGUAACGGUGAGUGGUCCAUAUUAUAUAUGAACAAUAAAGGAGAAGGAAUGAGAGGAGACCAGGGAGCGGCGAGUGAGAGAUAGAAAGAGUCAAAGCGUCAAAGAGAUGACCGGCCAAUGAAAUGCGGAAUGCGUGUAAAAUAAGUUGAUUUAAACGCGGGUUUCCUUUUUACCGAUUGCGUUUGAGCGUAGCAAUGACGAUUGACGCAGCAGUGAGCAUAGUUAGUAAAGUGAAUGUUGUGUGCGUUCAAAUCCGAGUGCGGUAUUGUACCAAUUAUGUGACAAAUGCCUGGUUGUGGUAAUUUGUGGGGCCACUGCUUAUUUGUUUUUAUGUGGUUACGAAUCUGCUGAUUGACUACGCCAGAGACUAGACUAGAGCAUUUCAGAAUCUUCUCCUAUUCCCAUCCUUUCACUAGAAUAUCACAGGUCAGGAACAGUAUGUACGAUUUUAAUCGAGGAAUGAUGGCCGACUCGUUUGAGCUUCAUAGCACGAAUUAAACGGUAUAAAAUGGACCAAAUUAGUCUUCUAGUUGAAAUUUUUUGUUAACA
Molecule: long non-coding RNA, 11024 nt
Filed under: Jatropha curcas
Lineage: Eukaryota; Viridiplantae; Streptophyta; Magnoliopsida; Malpighiales; Euphorbiaceae
Description: long non-coding RNA (JCUR_LNC002489)
Source: RNAcentral